CAAUAGCGUAUAUUAAAGUUGUUGCGGUUAAAAAGCUCGUAGUUGGAUUUCUGCCGAGGACGACCGGUCCGCCCUCUGGGUGAGUAUCUGGCUCGGCCUGGGCAUCUUCUUGGAGAACGUAGCUGCACUUGACUGUGUGGUGCGGUAUCCAGGACUUUUACUUUGAGGAAAUUAGAGUGUUUCAAGCAGGCAUACGCCUUGAAUACAUUAGCAUGGAAUAAUAAGAUAGGGCUUACGGCCUAUUUUGUUGGUUUCUAGGCUGCAGGCAAUGAUUAAUAGGGACAAUUGGGGGCAUUCGUAUUAACGCGUCAGAGGUGAAAUUCUUGGAUUGCGUUACGACGAACUACUGCGAAAGCAUUUGCCAAGGAUGUUUUCAUUGAUCAAGAACGAAAGUUAGGGGAUCGAAGACGAUCAGAUACCAU
Molecule: ribosomal RNA, 422 nt
Filed under: uncultured eukaryote
Lineage: Eukaryota
Description: SSU rRNA
Rfam family: Eukaryotic small subunit ribosomal RNA
Source: RNAcentral